GCCAGACUCCUACGGGAGGCAGCAGUGGGGAAUAUUGCACAAUGGGGGAAACCCUGAUGCAGCGACGCCGCGUGAGUGAAGAAGUAUUUCGGUAUGUAAAGCUCUAUCAGCAGGGAAGAAAAUGACGGUACCUGACCAAGAAGCCCCGGCUAACUACGUGCCAGCAGCCGCGGUAAUACGUAGGGGGCAAGCGUUAUCCGGAUUUACUGGGUGUAAAGGGAGCGUAGACGGUUGUGCAAGUCAGAAGUGAAAGCCCGGGGCCCAACCCCGGGACUGCUCUGGAAACUGCGGCGCUGGAGUACGGGAGGGGCAGGCGGAAUUCCUGGUGUAGCGGUGAAAUGCGUAGAUAUCAGGAGGAACACCGGCGGCGAAGGCGGCCUGCUGGACCGUGACUGACGUUGAGGCUCGAGAGCGUGGGGAGCAAACAGGAUUAGAUACCCCGGUACG
Molecule: ribosomal RNA, 447 nt
Filed under: uncultured bacterium
Lineage: Bacteria
Description: partial 16S ribosomal RNA
Rfam family: Bacterial small subunit ribosomal RNA
Source: RNAcentral